Molecule: long non-coding RNA, 814 nt
Filed under: Pongo abelii (Sumatran orangutan)
Lineage: Eukaryota; Metazoa; Chordata; Mammalia; Primates; Hominidae
Description: lincRNA
Source: RNAcentral
GGCGGGGCCCGGGGCGGGUCGGGCCGGGGGGCGAGAGGGUGCCCGCGGCCGCAGCUGAAGUUGGGCCGAGAGCCGGCGACGGCCCCGCGCCGGGGUCGCAGGGUACCAGUGUGCGGAGUUCCUGUUGCUAAGCUGAAGGUGGCGCUGGGCAGGCACAGGUGUUGUGGUCAUAUCUUCAGCCAACAGGACCAUCCUCCUGAGGGCCACCUCUGGGGACUUCCUACGGGAAGAGAGUGACAGAUUUGGUGCUUCUUUGUGUUUCUGCCGCUUCAGUGGGGCCACUGUGGGAGACAGUGGGUGGACCCUCCAGCAGCCUGUCUGCUGAGCCUGCCUUCUCAAGUCCACUGUGAAAAUCAGGACCGGGUCGUGUACAAGCCUACAGGCCCUGUCUCCCCUCCCCACACCUGCAGGAGUUGAGGGCUGCACCUGCUCGCUGGAGAGGGAGAGGCAGAUUUAGUGGACGCCUGGCAUGGACUCGGACUGGCCUUUGGAAGCUCCCUGUUCUGACGGGGUUGCCUGUCACCACUGCGAACUGAGGCUUGGCAGGACCUGCACCUGAGAAAGGCUAUGUGUGGUCUUGGGGUCCACACAUGCAGAGCUGACUUACUGCCAGAGGGCGACUUACUGUGGGCCACCCUCAGUGAACCAGGGUGUCCUCAGCCGGCCCUACAGAGCACUUCUGUGCUGGGGAUGAGUAGGAACUCUGGGCAAGGAGGGUCCCAGCACCGCCCCUCAGUACAGCCUGGCUCUGCCCUCUGCCUGUACUUAUACCAGGUGGGAUCCCUGCCCUGCAUUCUCUGGGGAUUGGCUGGGC